GGCCGCGUGGCCUAAUGGUUAAGGCGUCUGACUUCGAAUCAGAAGUAUGUGGGUUCAAUUCCCAUCGUGGUCG
Non-coding RNA from Paramacrobiotus metropolitanus, 73 nucleotides. The record is from the annotation of a RefSeq genome assembly. Lineage: Eukaryota; Metazoa; Tardigrada; Eutardigrada; Parachela; Macrobiotidae.